GGUACAAGCCUUUAAUAAAUACUUGUUGGGAAAAUCAGACAGAUUUAACAAAUGAAAUGCCAGAUUCAGUAUGAGCAUCAGUGCAUGUAAAACUAAUCACAGCCAGUUAUGUGAUGGACUUUUUUAUUCAUGUUAGGUUAGUGUUUCAAUUCCUUUAUAUUAUAAUAAUGAAACUUUCUUUGAGGAGUGACAUGAUUCAGAAUGUAAAUCUGAAUUACUAUCACAUUUUGCAUUAUCCAAUCAUUUCUAUAGUCAGCUGUAAUAUAUUUUUCUGUGCACUAAAGACAUAAAUUGUUCCCUUCAUUCAGCCACAGCAACAUGCACUGAUAAAAUUGUUCUCACCUUCCAAAAAACCUUAAUUGCAUUUGAUUAGACUCCAAUCAAAUAUGACAGAACAGCUCAUGAAUAAAGGAGGGAAAAAUACCCCAGCCACCCCAAACAAGGGAGGAUUUCAGAUAACAUAAAUCUUUACUCAUAGUGUUCUUUUGAAAAAUGGUAUUAUAGUAAUAUAGUACCAUUUUAUAAAUAUAAAAUCUUAUUUUCAACACAAUACUCAGACAGAAGAUACGCUUUGAACUCAAGUGUUUUCUGUCGUUGACGUGGGUCAAUACUCUGGUCCAUUUGUGGUUCAUUUUGAGUUGUAGCAUAAUAACAAGCAAUGAUGUUCUGAAAGCAUUAAGAAAACAUUUUUUUUCCAAAGUCUUCCAACAUCCAACUUAAAACCAGACAGUCUGGGACACUAAUAUAAACAAUUAUAUCAGGACUGACAUUGGCUUGAAAAUGCAAGUGUUGGACUGUUCUAAGGAGAAAAAAGUGCCACUCGAACAUGCAGCAUAUUUCUUUGAAGUCUUUGAGUCUUUCUCCUAUGAAGUACUGUAGACCUUCCGAAGAAGUCAGCAUUUGAUCAGUGGCAAAACAUUCUUUCAGCAUGGUCAAUGUGUCCAAUCCUUAGUCGACAUUCAUUAGGAAAGUCAUAAAAACAACACAGAUAAUCUAUUCUAACAUGAAAAUAGAUCAUCUAUCAUUUAAAGUAUUUCUUAUAAAGUCCCCACAGAUAGACUACCAACUUGUGGCCAUUUUACAUAUUUAUAUAUAAAACAUUUUCUGACCAACAUAAAUAAAAGGAAUGACACUGUUGAAAAGGAGAGCGACUGAAGGAGAGAAUAAGAAAAAGUAAUAAUUUUAAGAAAGACGAUAAAAAGGUGUCAUAUAAUUUACUAAACUCAAAUAUACACAGCUAUGUCUUUUUCACUAUUUACAUAUGUACAUAUGAAUAUUUUUCAAUUUAAUGAAUUAUCUCUCAGUGAUUAAAGAACUAAAAUCAUCGUCCCCUACUGUGUACCCCUACAAAAACCUAAGUGUUUUGGGACAACACAAUAGUGUGUUGACUGAAGUGGCCCUUGAUUCUUUACAUCAUGACUGUUCUGUUUAUAUGGCUGUCACAUGAAAAAAGACAAAAGCAAUCAUUUCUAACCAUCAAGAGCUGAGUGAGAGAUUAUCAGUCAGAAUAAUCUUACUGUCUGGACUGAGUACCAAUUCCCAAAGAAGGUGAAUUUCAAUAUAAAAAAGUAAGCCUUUUAUACUUAACAGUAUCUUAGUUCACCCAAAAAUGAAACUUGUGUAUUCAUUUACUCACCCAAAUGCCAUUUAUUCUCUUUUCUGUGUAACAAAAAGGAAUGAGGACCGAGGCUGUCGAGCUCUGUAAUUACAAAAAAGCACCUUAAAUAGGUCUUAAAAAUGUAUGUUUCUUUAAAAAGUCUUCUAAUGUCAUACAACAGAUUUGUGUGAAGGACAAACUUCAGUCGUUAUUCACAUAAUAUGAAUGCUAGAGAUUGUCUGAUUCAUGAACAAAUGAUUCUUUUGAGUUGGAGCUUUUCAAUUAAUCAGUUGAUCCAGUUCAACUCUGAAUGGUCUGGUUUUCAAACCUAAUGACAAUGGUUAACAGCCCAACAGAAGGUAAGAUAUUAGUGAAUAAUAAUGUACGCUUUGGUCUGUUCAUCACACAAAGCUAUCAUAUGGCUCCAGAUGACUUGGAAUAUAACAUAGCAAUUUUAUGAUACUCUUAUGAUACUUUUAUGGUGCUUUUGCAUCCCUUUUGAAGCGUGAAAGCUCCAGAUUUUGUGUGACUUCCUACACUUUUAUGUUACACAGAAGAAAAAAGUCAUACAGGUUUGGAAUGACAUGAGGGUGAGUAAAUGAUAACAGAAUCUUCCUUUGGGUAAACUAUACAUUUAAGUGUGUCUAUAGCAUGUGUUAACAAAAACAAGAACCAACGUAUGUGCAUCAUUAGAAAUAAAAAAUAAAAAAAGGUAAGCGCUAUUGUGACGGUACAGUGAGGCACUUGUGUAUAUAUACCUCUGGAAGAUUUAACGGCUUCUAACACUUGACUUUGGGCAGGUCUGGACAUAAUCAAAAACACUUUAAAGCUGCCUAUCGCUGAUUACUCCUCAGCCUCAAGGGUCAAAGGUCUCGCCAUAGUUCACAAACAUAAUCUUAAAGUUCAGCUUUGUGUAAAAAUGUCCUUCUUUUUAAGGAAAGUGAGUGCAAGUGUAAACAAAAAAAAAAAAAGGAUUUUGAAAACCAUUCUUUGAAUGUCGCAUUUGCUGCAUUUUUGUGACACAAAUCCCUGUUUCAUUUGACUACACAAUGAUGAAAAAAGAAUGAAAAGCCCAGAAGCUU
Sinocyclocheilus anshuiensis is the source of this 2679-nucleotide long non-coding RNA. RefSeq lists it as uncharacterized. NCBI's taxonomy places the organism in Eukaryota, Metazoa, Chordata, Actinopteri, Cypriniformes, Cyprinidae. The transcript has 2 exons. The record is from RefSeq and is a predicted model, not a curated record.